UGGGGAAUUUUGGACAAUGGGCGAAAGCCUGAUCCAGCAAUGCCGCGUGUGUGAAGAAGGCCUUCGGGUUGUAAAGCACUUUUGUCCGGAAAGAAAUGGCUCUGGUUAAUACCUGGGGUCGAUGACGGUACCGGAAGAAUAAGGACCGGCUAACUACGUGCCAGCAGCCGCGGUAAUACGUAGGGUCCAAGCGUUAAUCGGAAUUACUGGGCGUAAAGCGUGCGCAGGCGGUUGUGCAAGACCGAUGUGAAAUCCCCGAGCUUAACUUGGGAAUUGCAUUGGUGACUGCACGGCUAGAGUGUGUCAGAGGGGGGUAGAAUUCCACGUGUAGCAGUGAAAUGCGUAGAGAUGUGGAGGAAUACCGAUGGCGAAGGCAGCCCCCUGGGAUAACACUGACGCUCAUGCACGAAAGCGUGGGGAGCAAACAGGAUUAGAUACCCUGGUAGUCCACGCCCUAAACGAUGUCAACUAGUUGUUGGGGAUUCAUUUCCUUAGUAACGUAGCUAACGCGUGAAGUUGACCGCCUGGGGAGUACGGUCGCAAGAUUAAAAGCUCAAAGGAAUUGAC
Molecule: ribosomal RNA, 567 nt
Filed under: uncultured bacterium
Lineage: Bacteria
Description: partial 16S ribosomal RNA
Rfam family: Bacterial small subunit ribosomal RNA
Source: RNAcentral